GGAGAAAGAGGGGUUAUGAUGGAAGGCAAUGAAGAAGAAGAGGACGACGACAGCUAUCCUGGCCAUGGGUUCCCUGAAUACGAUGAUACAACAAUGGGGGAAGAAGCUGAGCCGGUAAUGCGGGAAGAAGCUGAGCCGGCAAUGCGGGAAGAAGCUGAAGAAGAGGCAUCGGAUGAGCCCGUUGAUGAUCUAGAUCGGGCCAUUGCCGAUGCAAAGAGAAACUGCGCAAAUGAUUUGGAGAGGAAGAAGUUGCAGCGCAUGUUAGAGGAUCACAAAAAAUUGUUGUACCCGAAUUGCGUAGGUGACAAGAAAAAGCUGGGCACCACACUGGAAUUUCUGCAAUGGAAGGCAGAGAAUGGU
This 360-nucleotide ribosomal RNA is filed under the name Triticum aestivum (bread wheat). Its description in RNAcentral is "partial small subunit ribosomal RNA". Lineage: Eukaryota; Viridiplantae; Streptophyta; Magnoliopsida; Poales; Poaceae. The record is from RNAcentral.